AUGGGCUACAUGGCAACCCCACUGAGCUCCUGGUUUGGCUUUGGUUUAGGAUGUCACCUAAGCAGAGGCCUCCGCAUUUGCCCUGUCCUUGGACUGACACCCAAGCUUCAGGAGAGCCACAGCCCCUUGGCUGCCUGCUCAGCAUCGCCCCGAUGGUGGUCAGCCCCUCCUGCUUGUUUGGGUUGGACCACCAUCCUCCGCCCAGCACGUCUCAGCGCUGCUCAUUCCUCCCCACAGAUUUCACCAAAGCCCCAUGUCAGUGAAGGUCUGACUGCAGUGAGCCCUGCACAGCUCACACCACCAAACCUCAGUGUUCUGAGAAGAACCCAAAGGCAGGGGAGACAUUCAUUCAGCUCUCUGCUGUCUUUCAGUGUUUAUUUGGUUUCAACAUCCGCAUUACCGUGGUCUCCCCCUGGCAGGAGGCACCACGUGCUCACACACUGCGUGUGCUGGGUGCCAGGCCUGGGCUGCAGCGAUGGCACGAGCAGCGCUGGAUCCCUGCACAACACAGUGGGUUCCUGCACGUAUGUGGAAACCGUGCUCCACUGUGCCAGCUGGGAAUACGCGCAGUGCCUGAGUCUGCCCACUGCUGCAGGCACACAGGAGCAGAAUUUCACAGUCGUAGAUUGGUUGGAUUGGAGGGGACCUUAAAGACCUUCCCUGCCGUGGGCUGCAUGCCCUACAGCUCGGCUGCCCAGGGCCCCUUCCUGAUCCACUCUCCCAUUUAGGCUCCUUAUUGCCCAUUCGUUUCUAACAGCGCUGUUUCUAAUGGUCAGAUGGAAACUGUAAGAGGAAGUGGUCUGAGUUCAGCUCUGCAAAGGAAGAGAUAGAAAACCUUAUUAUGGGCAGGUAUAGAGCAGUGUCCCCUUUGGGAACGUCAUCUCCUUUUUCCCCAGGGCAGCAGCAUCUAGCUCAAGGCACCAGGGUUAAUGUCCUUUGCAAAUACUUAUCCGGCCUAAUAGAUCUGGGGAUAUUGCUAUCACUCACAGAUAUUUCAAAAUCUCUCCUCUUAAUCCUGACAAGCUCUUGCCCUUAAUAACUUCAGUGGGACUCUUGCCAGAGCAAAGACUGUCAAGUCGGAUUCUCAAAUGAAACAAAAAGAAAAGCAGGAAGGGAAGUUCAAGGUGAGGGGUUUUUUUUGCUUGGUGCUUUUUGUGGAUGUUCGUAGAUGGAAACUGUUGGGAUUUUUUCCUUCUGAUUACUUAAAUGAUGGAUGAGUCAAAUGUCCUGAGAAAGCCUUCCAGACCCAGCCACAAAUGGCACAGGAUGGAGAGAGCAAAGCCAUCGGGGGCUGAGGACAGACAGAGAAAGAAGACUGAGAGAGUAGCAUGGUAGGGAAAUAGCAGCUUCAGUGGGAAGAAAGAUUUCAGAGGGAAGCGGGGAUCAUUUGUGGAGCUUGUACAUAGAAAUAGUUUAUACAUUUUUGGUUAGUGAAUAUUUAAGAAUGUCGUAAUAAUCAGUUGUUGUGAGUUAUCCCAGACAGCUGGUUGCGCGUGGCCGCAGGGCGUUCGGUGGUACCUCCUUACAUUCCGUGGAAACCUUUUGCAGAGCUCAGUCUCCUGUGACACAGAUUAUCUCAGCUUUCAUUAAAAAUGAGGGGAACAUUUCUAUACUCCCUCUGUUGCAGAAAACCUAGAAAACAUGAAGCUGAGAGCCACAGAGCAAAUAAGGCCCCAGACCCCAUCCUGAGACACUCUGUGAUUGCUGGAGCCGUUCUCCUCCGGGGACGCGGAGGGCGGAUCGAUGGUUUGCAGCGCUGAAGGCAGGCGCUGCUGAUAAGCGAUGAGCGCUUGUGAUAUGAGCACAGGAGGCAACGAGCAGCAAGAACAGAAGAUAGGAGCUACUCUUAGAUAGAACUGGCCUUUUCCUGCAGCCCUUUCAGAGCAGCACAAGGUGCCCUGGGUCCUUCCAGGCACCGGCUCAGAAGCAGGACAGCUUUCUUUGCUCAGCUCUGCACUGUUCUCGCGAGGCUUGGCAAGCUGGUCCUCCAUGCAGAGCAGGUAUCCCCCAGACCCAACCUCACCCCACACCAUUUGUUUCCUCCCGGUGUGCAGAUUCACCUUUUCACCCAGGGAAGGAACUGAUGUCACCACCAGGAGAUCUGCAACAUCUCUGGGAGGAUCCGUGAGCCUGUGACCACAGCAGAGCGUGGCUGCAGCAGCUGAAGGCUUCCGAGGAAGAAGAGGGUUUGGGGUGGGUGGUUCCUGGAUUUACUUUCCACAGGACUGCACAGGUUCUGCUUCAUUCUAACCUUAAAGCUAGUAAAUACUCGGAAAAGCUAACUUAGAUUCUGUUUGCUGUUCUGAAACAAGCCAUAAAUCCUUUGGAGUUUGGGGGGAAUUUUUUUUCUCUCUCUUUUUUUUUUUUCUUUUUGCACAUGCUGCCAAAAUUCUGCUAUUACUUAUUGAGAUGCAUUUGUAAGGUUACAAAUUUGCAACGAUUUCCAGCACAAAUAUUUUUCAAAGAAGUGUUUCCCCUCUUCCCUGUAAAUAUUCUGCCUCUGGCCUUUGUGGGAAAAAAAAGAUGUUUUGGCCAAAGUAGGAAAAAAUAAAAAUCUAUAAACAUUUCA
Phasianus colchicus (ring-necked pheasant) is the source of this 2569-nucleotide long non-coding RNA. NCBI's taxonomy places the organism in Eukaryota, Metazoa, Chordata, Aves, Galliformes, Phasianidae. The record is from Ensembl.